AGAGUUUGAUCGUGGCUCAGAGUGAACGCUGGCGGCGUGGCUAAGACAUGCAGUCGAACGGACCGAAAGGUCAGUGGCGAACGGGUGAGUACAAGUUAGAUAACCUACCCCUCUCUGGAGGAUAGCCGUGGGAAACUGCGGGUAAUACUUCAUAAUAUAGCGGGCUGAUGGCCUGUUAUCAAAGUUCUGGCGGUGAGGGAUGGGUCUAACUCCUAUCAGCUAGUUGGUGGGGUAAUGGCCUACCAAGGCGACGACGGGUAACUGGUCUGAGAGGACGGCCAGUCACAUCGGAACUGAGAAACUGUCCGGACACCUACGGGUGGCUGCAGUAACGAAUCUUCCCCAAUGGGCGCAAGCCUGAGGGAGCGACGCCGCGUGCCAGAGGAAGCCCUUCGGGGUGUAAAUGGCUUUUAGGGUCAGGUAAUACUGAACCGGUCCUGAAUAAGGGGCGACUAACUUCGUGCCAGCAGUCGCGGUAAUACGAAGGCCCCAAGCGUUACUCGGAUUUACUGGGCUUAAAGGGCGUGUAGGCGGAUGAUCAGGUGCCUUGUGAAAUCCCACGGCUCAACCGUGGAAAUGCAGGGUAGACCAGUCAUCUUGAGCAGGCUAGGGGCAACUGGAACUCCAGGUGGAGCGGUGAAAUGCGUAGAUAUCUGGGGGAACGCCGAAGGUGAAGACAGGUUGCUGGGGCUUUGCUGACGCUGAGGCGCGAAAGCGUGGGGAGCAAACGGGAUUAGAUACCCCGGUAGUCCACGCUGUAAACGAUGUGUACUAGAUUCGGGAGGUUCUCACGCCGUCCGGGUCGAAAAGAAAUCGGUAAGUACACCGCCUGGGGACUACGGCCGCAAGGCUAAAACUCAAACGAAUUGACGGGGGCUCACACAAGCGGUGGAGCAUGUGGCUUAAUUCGAAGCAACGCGAAGAACCUUACCUGGGUUUGACAUGCAUGGAUUAACUCUAUGAAAGUAGAGCCAGGCCCUUCGGGGUACAACAUGCACAGGUGUUGCACGGCUGUCGUCAGCUCGUGCCGUGAGGUGUCAGGUUAAGUCCCUCAACGAGCGAAACCCUUAUUGUUAGUUGCUACCGGGUCAUGCCGAGCACUCUAGCAAGACUGCCAGCGUAAGCUGGAGGAAGGUGGGGAUGACGUCAAGUCAUCGUGGCCUUUAUGCCCAGGGAUGCACACGUGCUACAAUGGCAACUAUAAAGCGACGCAAUACCGCGAGGUGGAGCAAAUCGCAGAAAAGUUGUCUCAGUUCGGAUUGUAGUCUGCAACUCGACUACAUGAAGUUGGAAUCGCUAGUAAUCGCGGAUCAGCUAUGCCGCGGUGAAUGUGUUCCUGAGCCUUGUACACACCGCCCGUCAAGUCAUGGGAGCUGGUAAUGCCCAAAGCCGCCCUUCAAUAAGGCGUCUACGGCAGGACUGGUGACUGGGACUAAGUAGUAACAAGGUA
Molecule: ribosomal RNA, 1450 nt
Filed under: metagenome
Description: bacterial SSU rRNA
Rfam family: Bacterial small subunit ribosomal RNA
Source: RNAcentral